Molecule: ribosomal RNA, 252 nt
Filed under: uncultured bacterium
Lineage: Bacteria
Description: partial 16S ribosomal RNA
Rfam family: Bacterial small subunit ribosomal RNA
Source: RNAcentral
UACGUAGGGUGCGAGCGUUAAUCGGAAUUACUGGGCGUAAAGUGUGCGCAGGCGGCGCCGCAAGUCGAGUGUGAAAGCCCCGGGCUUAACUUGGGAAUUGCGCUCGAAACUAUGGUGCUGGAGUGUGGCAGAGGAAGGUGGAAUUCCACGUGUAGCGGUGAAAUGCGUAGAGAUGUGGAGGAACACCGAUGGCGAAGGCAGCCUUCUGGGCCAACACUGACGCUCAUGCACGAAAGCGUGGGAGCAAACAGG